GAUGAAGAACGUAGCGAAAUGCGAUAAGUAAUGUGAAUUGCAGAGUUCAGUGAAUCAUCGAAUCUUUGAACGCACAUUGCGCCCGCCAGUAUUCUGGCGGGCAUGCCUGUCCGAGCGUCAUUUCAACCCUCAAGCACAGCUUGGUGUUGGGACUCGCGUUAAUUCGCGUUCCUCAAAUUGAUUGGCGGUCACGUCGAGCUUCCAUAGCGUAGUAGUAAAACCCUCGUUACUGGUAAUCGUCGCGGCCACGCCGUUAAACCCCAACUUCUGAAUGUUGACCUCGGAUCAGGUAGGAAUACCCGCUGAACUUAAGCAUAUCAAUAAGCGGAGGA
Molecule: unclassified non-coding RNA, 332 nt
Filed under: soil metagenome
Description: partial contains 5.8S ribosomal RNA, internal transcribed spacer 2, and large subunit ribosomal RNA
Rfam family: 5.8S ribosomal RNA (bases 1-120)
Source: RNAcentral